Long non-coding RNA from Alosa sapidissima (American shad), 1458 nucleotides. RefSeq lists it as uncharacterized. NCBI's taxonomy places the organism in Eukaryota, Metazoa, Chordata, Actinopteri, Clupeiformes, Clupeidae. The transcript has 2 exons. The record is from RefSeq and is a predicted model, not a curated record.
CAGGACAGCAGAAAUUGGAGUAUGCUUCACGUCCACGGCAAAAAUGACGCACGUCUUGGACACGCGCAAAUGUGACGCAGGACCAUGCCAGAGCCUUUAAUCAGGCACAGUAGGCCUAUUUAGGGUGGGCUCUUGGAAUCCUUCAGUGCAGAGUUAUCUUGCGGCGGCGGCCGGCGGCCGGCGCUCGGCGCUUUCCGCUUUCCCUGUGGAAUUACUUUUUGACCUUGUUGGACUGAACUUUGUUACUACUGAACUUUGGACUGUUUUCUGACCACGAUUUUGGAUUACUGUUUUUGGAUUGUUUGCCCUGGACCUAUUGUUGACUCAUUGACUUUCAUUUUUGGUCUGCCAUUGCCUGCUGUUUUUCUUGAAGUGGUUCUUGUUUCCACUGAACCUGUUACCAUUUUUUGCUUGUGUCCUACUUCUGGGUCCAACCAGCACCUCUGCCCUAAUGGCCGUAACAUUGGAAAAUAAUGCCUUAAAAAGAACAUUGAUAAAACAUAGUAACGAUCCGAGCUUAGAAGCAUGAAACAAACUCGUAGAAUCCAGCUGUCACAAGCACCUUCUGAACUCAAAGGAAACACUUGAUAAAAUAUAUUUGCGGUUUAUAAAGGAGCUUUGCUAUAAAGGAGCACACUGCCAUUAUGGAUAUUUCAUGUAAUGCCGUACUUUCACUGGCCGGUGACUUAGAUGGCGCUUAGGUGGAGUAGGCCUAUGGCAUGGCAUUAAACAGACUGGUUAAAAUCCGAAGUGAGCUAGCCUACGAGAAGCAAACAUAGAAGAUAAUUUCCUAGCAGUUUUCUCCCCAACAUUUUUGUAGGCUAGGCUACUAGUUCUUCACUGAUCUGAGCUAAAUGAGUGAAUUGAAGUGUAUAUAGUCCAGAAAAUACGGUACAUCAGAAUGAAAUUACCAUAGACUGUUAAAAAAUAUGGACAAAGCGUCUGUGACGUCACCCAUAGAUUUUCUGAAGAACGGUUAUGAAGCCGUUUAUGGGGGGUAUGGGCGGCGCCAUCUUGGAAAACCUUGGGAAAUCCUAACCCCGCCCACCUCCUGAGCAAGCCGGUGAACCCGCCUCGUCGUCAGCCGAGCAGCCUCAGCUAAGCUAUCUGUAAUGUUAGGCCUACAAGAUGGACUGUCACAGACGUUGCUGUAACAUAAUUUGCUGUUCGCCAUGGGGAGGAGGCGGCAAGGAGGUCCAUGGGCUCUAACCUGGGACUAGAGGUCCAGGUGAAGUGGUUUGGCUGGGGUGUGGUAUUGAACCCAUUGAGACUAUACAGUACAUUUCACUUUAUGUCUAUUGAUGGACUGUUACACCUACCCUUUACUUAUGCCAAACCCAUUUCUGUUCUUUAAAUAUCAGAACGCAAACUUACUGUUGAUGGCACUGAACUUGCACUUGGAAAUGUUUAUGGAACUUUUCUGAACUGUGAAUUACAUUAAAACUCAUGCCAAACCAA